GACGAACGCUUGCGGCGUGCUUAACACAUGCAAGUCGAACGGAAAGGCCCUGCUUUUGUGGGGUGCUCGAGUGGCGAACGGGUGAGUAACACGUGAGUAACCUGCCCUUGACUUUGGGAUAACUUCAGGAAACUGGGGCUAAUACCGGAUAGGAGCUCCUGCUGCAUGGUGGGGGUUGGAAAGUUUCGGCGGUUGGGGAUGGACUCGCAGCUUAUCAGCUUGUUGGUGGGGUAGUGGCUUACCAAGGCUUUGACGGGUAGCCGGCCUGAGAGGGUGACCGGCCACAUUGGGACUGAGAUACGGCCCAGACUCCUACGGGAGGCAGCAGUGGGGAAUAUUGCACAAUGGGCGGAAGCCUGAUGCAGCAACGCCGCGUGCGGGAUGACGGCCUUCGGGUUGUAAACCGCUUUCGCCUGUGACGAAGCGUGAGUGACGGUAAUGGGUAAAGAAGCACCGGCUAACUACGUGCCAGCAGCCGCGGUGAUACGUAGGGUGCGAGCGUUGUCCGGAUUUAUUGGGCGUAAAGGGCUCGUAGGUGGUUGAUCGCGUCGGAAGUGUAAUCUUGGGGCUUAACCCUGAGCGUGCUUUCGAUACGGGUUGACUUGAGGAAGGUAGGGGAGAAUGGAAUUCCUGGUGGAGCGGUGGAAUGCGCAGAUAUCAGGAGGAACACCAGUGGCGAAGGCGGUUCUCUGGGCCUUUCCUGACGCUGAGGAGCGAAAGCGUGGGGAGCGAACAGGCUUAGAUACCCUGGUAGUCCACGCUGUAAACGGUGGGUACUAGGUGUGGGGUCCAUUCCACGGGUUCCGUGCCGUAGCUAACGCUUUAAGUACCCCGCCUGGGGAGUACGGCCGCAAGGCUAAAACUCAAAGGAAUUGACGGGGCCCCGCACAAGCGGCGGAGCAUGCGGAUUAAUUCGAUGCAACGCGUAGAACCUUACCUGGGUUUGACAUGGAUCGGGAGUGCUCAGAGAUGGGUGUGCCUCUUUUGGGGUCGGUUCACAGGUGGUGCAUGGCUGUCGUCAGCUCGUGUCGUGAGAUGUUGGGUUAAGUCCCGCAACGAGCGCAACCCUUGUUCUCUGUUGCCAGCACGUUAUGGUGGGGACUCAGUGGAGACCGCCGGGGUCAACUCGGAGGAAGGUGGGGAUGACGUCAAGUCAUCAUGCCCCUUAUGUCCAGGGCUUCACGCAUGCUACAAUGGCUGGUACAGAGAGUGGCGAGCCUGUGAGGGUGAGCGAAUCUCGGAAAGCCGGUCUCAGUUCGGAUUGGGGUCUGCAACUCGACCUCAUGAAGUCGGAGUCGCUAGUAAUCGCAGAUCAGCAACGCUGCGGUGAAUACGUUCCCGGG
This 1343-nucleotide ribosomal RNA is filed under the name uncultured bacterium. Its description in RNAcentral is "16S ribosomal RNA". It matches the Rfam family "Bacterial small subunit ribosomal RNA", at positions 28 to 1378 of the family's 1533-position model. The record is from RNAcentral.